UCCCCAGCACACUACUGCCCUCUGACAGGAUCUGAGUUCUGCCUGACUACACAAUUGCUCUGUCCCUCCACCAGAGCCGAGCUGCAGGACGCUGUGGGCUUGCUUAGGCCUCUGGUCUCCAGACUUGUCCAGUGAGGGAGGGAGGGGAUGAAAAAGGGAGGGAGGCCUGCUGCACCAGGUACGAUGCAGGCCCUGGCGCUGCCCCCCAAAAUGAGCACAGGGGGACACAAACCUGCCACCUGGUGCCCAACAGUUGUGGGGGCAGGAAGAGAGGCGAUGAGAGCACAGGGGACCAGCCCAGAGGCAGCCCUGCAGGAGAGCAGAAAGAUGAGUAGCAGUGGGGUACACAGGCCCUGUGGCAAGGUGGCUCAGGGCAGGACUUGAGGGUGGAGGGAGUUCAGGUUGGCACCCACAGCAGCACCCGAGGAUAGUGUAGUGAAGGGGUCCACGGGAGCAGCUGCAGAGUCAGGACCAGCCACAGAGAGCCCACAGCCCUGACUGGAGAGGGUGUCGUUGGAACACAAUGCUGCCCCUGUAGGAGGGGGCUCACCUGUCAGGCUGUGGCCUCGGGUAGAGGACACAACCGUGAACAAAAUGGAAGCUAGCAGGGAAGGGCAAGCUGGCCUUUUUCUCCUCCCACCUUCCCCUCUCACUGCAGGGAAGUCUUAACUACAUGGCCCAAGACGGCUGCUCCAGCUCCGGUGACUGCACCCUCGUUCCAGCCUGUUCGAGGGGAAGAAAGGAAGGGGCAGGCACGUACCUUUCAAGGAAUAAACCAGAGCCCACACUUAGUAUCUCAGAUCACAUCUAGAAGCCACAGCUAAAUGCAUGGGAGGGUGGGAGGUGGUGGGCAGGUGCCCACAGAACAGGACAGGCUCAGGUAUCAGGGGAGAGAGCAGGCUGUGCCUGAGAACAACGUGCCUGCACUGAGGCUUUCAAGGACAGGAGGCCCAGGGUCGGUAUCUGCCUGGAGGAUGCCGAUGGGAUGAGAAUGAGCGGAGGUGAGGCCGGGCCUGACUGGGGCGGGGACACUGGGGACAAAGGGGAUCCGUGGCUACUGAAGAGGUAAAAUCAACAAGGUUUGGUGACCCUUGAGGGCAAAGGGGUCUAGAGGGAACAGAAGGAACGCAUGCACAUUUCCAAAAUGCUACAGAUAAGAAAAGCUUACAAAGUAAGCCCUAAAGUGUCCCUGUUAUAUCUUCCAGGAAAGAAUGGAAAUUCACACUGAAAUUCACAUUGGUUGAGCUGCCACUCCUGGCAGGAGCUUCCUCAUGGGGGCUUGGUGGAAUUUCUACACGAGUUCCACUGACCUGCCUCAUGUAAUGACUGUUUGGGUCAGGACCAGGAUCAGGGUGAAGCCAAGUAAGGCCCUUGCCUUGGACACAAUGUAAAAGCGGCACCAAGAAUUUUUCAUGAGCAAGAUAAGUAAUGCUCCCAUGUGAUGUAAAUAAAA
Molecule: long non-coding RNA, 1453 nt
Organism: Lutra lutra (Eurasian river otter)
Lineage: Eukaryota; Metazoa; Chordata; Mammalia; Carnivora; Mustelidae
Exons: 2
Source: RefSeq, a predicted model, not a curated record